AUUCUGGCAGGUUUGUUUAAAUCUGUAUUCACAAGUAGAGCAUGAAGCAUAAUGACUCAAAAUUUAUUUUGGCAUUAUGUCAAUAUAGUAAUGAAAUAACCUACCAUUUAUUAACUAUCAUUCUUGAACUAUUAUGAUUUGAAAGACGAUCAUUAAAUUCGUUCACAGCCUCGUGCGACAUUCACGUCGGUAAAUAAGGUCGUACAAAGCCCCAAUCACUCCUGAUCUUACGGCUGUGGCCAGAAAUCAAAAGACAUAAUCUUCCCCGGUCUAUCUCCAACCAGGGAUGUGCAACUAUGGACCUAACUACCAAGUAGUUUUUUAUGAGGGGUUGAUCGAAUUGUUCAUCUCCGUGUACGAGUGUAUCGCCUCUUGGCUUCACUAGCUGAAGCUUACAUCACAUACACUUUGAAAAGCAUAAACGAUUCGAACCCAAAAGACUGAAAACGAAUGCCACACCAACUAGAAGCAUGCCUGGGAAUUGGGAUUUGCCAGAACGGUAAGGCUAUACAGUUUUAAUUUUACUUCCACAACAUCAAGCAAAUGCAUCCAUCUUGCAAUUCAAUUAUGCAGGCAUUAAAAGACUCAGAAAAUAAAUCCAUCAACAGUGAAGUGUCAACUU
This 622-nucleotide unclassified non-coding RNA is filed under the name Hevea brasiliensis (rubber tree). Lineage: Eukaryota; Viridiplantae; Streptophyta; Magnoliopsida; Malpighiales; Euphorbiaceae. The record is from RNAcentral.